This 316-nucleotide ribosomal RNA is filed under the name Antigone vipio (White-naped crane). RNAcentral describes it as "partial 12S ribosomal RNA". It matches the Rfam family "Bacterial small subunit ribosomal RNA", at positions 868 to 1341 of the family's 1533-position model. The record is from RNAcentral. Lineage: Eukaryota; Metazoa; Chordata; Aves; Gruiformes; Gruidae.
UCCGCCUGAGAACUACGAGCACAAACGCUUAAAACUCUAAGGACUUGGCGGUGCCCCAAACCCACCUAAAGGAGCCUGUUCUAUAAUCGAUAACCCACGAUACACCCAACCACUCCUUGCCAGUGCAGCCUACAUACCGCCGUUCGCCAGCUCACCUCCUCUGAGGGCCCAACAGUGAGCACAAUAGCCCCUACCCGCUAACAAGACAGGUCAAGGUAUAUCCCACGGAGUGGAAGAAAUGGGCUACAUUUUCUAAAAUAGAUAACCACACGGAAGGGGGUGUGAAACCUCCCCCAGAAGGCGGAUUUAUCAGUAA